This 255-nucleotide ribosomal RNA is filed under the name uncultured bacterium. RNAcentral's name for it is "partial 16S ribosomal RNA". It matches the Rfam family "Bacterial small subunit ribosomal RNA", at positions 524 to 776 of the family's 1533-position model. The record is from RNAcentral.
UACGGAGGGUGCAAACGUUGCUCGGAAUCAUUGGGCGUAAAGCGCACGUAGGCGGCUCGUUAAGUCGGGUGUGAAAGCUCCUGGCUUAACUGGGAGAGGCCGUUCAAAACUGUCAAGCUAGAGUCUGGAAGAGGAGAGCGGAAUUCCCGGUGUAGUGGUGGAAUGGCGUAGAGAUCGGGAGGAACACCAGUGGCGAAAGCGGCUCUCUGGUCCAAAACUGGACGCUGAGGGGCGAAAGCGUGGGGAGCGAACGGG